UGCUUAACACAUGCAAGUCGAACGAAGAAGGUUAGGAUGAGAGCUUCGGCAGGAUUUUUAUCUAUCUUAGUGGCGGACGGGUGAGUAACGUGUGGGCAACCUGCCCUGUACUGGGGAAUAAUCAUUGGAAACGAUGACUAAUACCGCAUGUGGUCCUCGGAAGGCAUCUUCUGAGGAAGAAAGGAUUUAUUCGGUACAGGAUGGGCCCGCAUCUGAUUAGCUAGUUGGUGAGAUAACAGCCCACCAAGGCGACGAUCAGUAGCCGACCUGAGAGGGUGAUCGGCCACAUUGGGACUGAGACACGGCCCAAACUCCUACGGGAGGCAGCAGUGGGGAAUAUUGCACAAUGGGCGAAAGCCUGAUGCAGCAACGCCGCGUGAAGGAUGAAGGGUUUCGGCUCGUAAACUUCUAUCAAUAGGGAAGAAACAAAUGACGGUACCUAAAUAAGAAGCCCCGGCUAACUACGUGCCAGCAGCCGCGGUAAUACGUAGGGGGCAAGCGUUAUCCGGAAUUACUGGGUGUAAAGGGAGCGUAGGCGGCAUGGUAAGCCAGAUGUGAAAGCCUUGGGCUUAACCCGAGGAUUGCAUUUGGAACUAUCAAGCUAGAGUACAGGAGAGGAAAGCGGAAUUCCUAGUGUAGCGGUGAAAUGCGUAGAUAUUAGGAAGAACACCAGUGGCGAAGGCGGCUUUCUGGACUGAAACUGACGCUGAGGCUCGAAAGCGUGGGGAGCAAACAGGAUUAGAUACCCCUGGUAGUCCACGCCGUAAACGAUGAGUGCUAGGUGUCGGGGAGGAAUCCUCGGUGCCGCAGCUAACGCAAUAAGCACUCCACCUGGGGAGUACGACCGCAAGGUUGAAACUCAAAGGAAUUGACGGGGGCCCGCACAAGCGGUGGAGCAUGUGGUUUAAUUCGAAGCAACGCGAAGAACCUUACCAAGGCUUGACAUCCCGAUGACCGUCCUAGAGAUAGGACUUCUCUUCGGAGCAUCGGUGACAGGUGGUGCAUGGUUGUCGUCAGCUCGUGUCGUGAGAUGUUGGGUUAAGUCCCGCAACGAGCGCAACCCUUAUCUUCAGUAGCCAUCAUUCAGUUGGGCACUCUGGAGAGACUGCCGUGGAUAACACGGAGGAAGGUGGGGAUGACGUCAAAUCAUCAUGCCCCUUAUGUCUUGGGCUACACACGUGCUACAAUGGCUGGUAACAAAGUGACGCAAGACGGUGACGUUAAGCAAAUCACAAAAACCCAGUCCCAGUUCGGAUUGUAGUCUGCAACUCGACUACAUGAAGCUGGAAUCGCUAGUAAUCGCGAAUCAGCAUGUCGCGGUGAAUACGUUCCCGGGCCUUGUACACACCGCCCGUCACACCAUGGGAGUUGGAAGCACCCGAAGUCGGUGACCUAACCGUAAGGAAGGAGCCGCCGAAGGUGAAGCCAGUGACUGGGGC
This 1439-nucleotide ribosomal RNA is filed under the name uncultured organism. RNAcentral's name for it is "SSU rRNA". It matches the Rfam family "Bacterial small subunit ribosomal RNA". The record is from RNAcentral.